CAUGGCGCGGGAAUCCGGUUGAUCCUGCCGGACGUACCGCUAUUGGAGUUCGAUUAAGCCAUGCGAGUCUAGAGGCCUAGCCUCGGCGUACCGCUCAGUAACACGUGGGUAACCUACCCUAUGCUGGGGAAUAAGCUCGGGAAACUGAGAAUAAUGCCCCAUAGUCCACUACGCCUGGAACGGUGAGUGGAUUAAAGCUCCGGCGGCAUAGGAUGGGCCUGCGGCGUAUCAGGUUGUAGGGGGUGUAAUGUACCCUCUAGCCAUCCACGCGUACGGGUGUUGGGAGACAUUGCCCGGAGAUGGAUUCUGAGACACGAAUCCAGACCCUACGGGUGGCAGCAGGCGCGAAAACUUGGCAAUGCGAGAAAUCGUGACCAGGGAACUCCAAGUGGCAGGGGUAAGACCUGUCUUUUUUCCGACUUAAAUAGGUCGGCGAAUAAGGGGUGGGUAAGGACGGUGCCAGCCGCCCGCGUAAUACCGCGCCUCAAGUGGUAGUCGCUUUUAUUGGGCCUAAAACGUCGUAGCCGGUCUGGUACAUUCGUGGGUAAAUCAACUCGCUCAACGAGUUGAAUUCUGCGAGGACGGCCAGACUUGGGACCGGGAGAGGUGUGGGGUACUCUCAGGGUAGGGGUAAAAUCCUGUCAUCCUGAGAGGACCACCUGUUGCGAAGGCUCCACACUAGAACGGAUCCGACGGUCAGGGACGAAGCCUAGGGGCACGAACCGGAUUAGAUACCCGGGUAGUCCUAGGUGUAAACGCUGUGGACUUGAUGUUGGGGACGCUCCGAGCGUUCUCAGUGUCGAAGCGAAGGUGAUAAGUCCACUGCCUGGGGAGUACGGUCGCAAGGCUGAAACUUAAAGGAAUUGGCGGGGGAGCACCGCAACCUGAGGAUUGUGCGGUUUAAUUGGAUUCAACGCCGGAAAUCA
Molecule: ribosomal RNA, 926 nt
Filed under: uncultured marine archaeon DCM6515
Lineage: Archaea
Description: bacterial SSU rRNA
Rfam family: Archaeal small subunit ribosomal RNA
Source: RNAcentral